GAUGAACGCUGGCGGCGUGCUUAACACAUGCAAGUCGAACGAGAAGUGAAGACGGAAACCUUCGGGCGGAAGGCUUUAUUUCGAGUGGCGGACGGGUGAGUAACGCGUGGGUAACCUGCCUCAUACAGGGGGAUAACAGUUGGAAACGACUGUUAAUACCGCAUAAGACCACAGCACCGCAUGGUGCGGGGGUAAAAACUCCGGUGGUAUGAGAUGGACCCGCGUUCGAUUAGCCAGUUGGCGGGGUAACGGCCCACCACAGCGACGAUCGAUAGCCGAUCUGAGAGGAUGACCGGCCACAGUGGGACUGAGACACGGCCCAAACUCCUACGGGAAGCAGCAGUGGGGAAUAUUGCACAAUGGGGGAAACCCUGAUGCAGCGACGCCGCGUGAGUGAAGAAGUAUUUCGGUAUGUAAAGCUCUAUCAGCAGGGAAGAAAAUGACGGUACCUGAGUAAGAAGCCCCGGCUAACUACGUG
This 478-nucleotide ribosomal RNA is filed under the name uncultured bacterium. Its description in RNAcentral is "partial 16S ribosomal RNA". It matches the Rfam family "Bacterial small subunit ribosomal RNA", at positions 28 to 507 of the family's 1533-position model. The record is from RNAcentral.